GGUAAAAAAAUUAUUUAUGAAAUUAAUUGUAAAACACUUUAGUGGGGUAAAAAUAAUUUGGCUUUAAAAGGUGGUCAAAAACUAUUUAAAAACUAAGUAAAUGAUUAAAAAUAAAAAAAAAGAGUUCUAAUGCAUGAUUUCAAAUAAGAUUUAAUCAAGGUAACAUACUUGUGUUGGAUUAAUCAUAUUCCUUUAACUUAGAAUUAUUAAACUCAUGUUUACGCUGUUACGAAUGAAAUUCACAGCAACCCGGUAAUUUGCUAACUUAUUAACAAAUUUAUAUACAAAAAUCCAUUCAUCUCUUGACAUAUCCCUAUGUCAAUUCAAC
Molecule: long non-coding RNA, 328 nt
Filed under: Gossypium barbadense (sea-island cotton)
Lineage: Eukaryota; Viridiplantae; Streptophyta; Magnoliopsida; Malvales; Malvaceae
Description: long non-coding RNA (GBAR_LNC010583)
Source: RNAcentral